ACUCCUGCGGGAGGCAGCAGUGGGGAAUUUUGGACAAUGGGCGAAAGCCUGAUCCAGCAAUGCCGCGUGUGUGAAGAAGGCCUUCGGGUUGUAAAGCACUUUUGUCCGGAAAGAAAUCCUUGGCUCUAAUACAGUCGGGGGAUGACGGUACCGGAAGAAUAAGCACCGGCUAACUACGUGCCAGCAGCCGCGGUAAUACGUAGGGUGCGAGCGUUAAUCGGAAUUACUGGGCGUAAAGCGUGCGCAGGCGGUUUGCUAAGACCGAUGUGAAAUCCCCGGGCUCAACCUGGGAACUGCAUUGGUGACUGGCAGGCUAGAGUAUGGCAGAGGGGGGUAGAAUUCCACGUGUAGCAGUGAAAUGCGUAGAGAUGUGGAGGAACACCGAUGGCGAAGGCAGCCCCCUGGGUCAAGAUUGACGCUCAUGCACGAAAGCGUGGGGAGCAAACAGGAUUAGAUACCCCGGUAGUCCC
This 470-nucleotide ribosomal RNA is filed under the name uncultured organism. RNAcentral's name for it is "partial 16S ribosomal RNA". It matches the Rfam family "Bacterial small subunit ribosomal RNA", at positions 335 to 797 of the family's 1533-position model. The record is from RNAcentral.